Burkholderia cenocepacia is the source of this 105-nucleotide non-coding RNA. The record is from Rfam. NCBI's taxonomy places the organism in Bacteria, Pseudomonadati, Pseudomonadota, Betaproteobacteria, Burkholderiales, Burkholderiaceae.
GCGGCCUGCGGAGAUGGCAUGCCUCCCUGCGGUCGUUCCGGCGCAUGGCGCGCGCGGUGCGGCCCUCAACCGCCGGUUUGCCCGGCUGAUGAUGCCUGCGUGUUC